GCUGAUAUGGCUCGGUUGGUAGAGCGCACCCUUGUUAAGGGUGAGGUCGGUAGUACGAAUAUGCCUACCAACACCA
Molecule: transfer RNA, 76 nt
Filed under: Shewanella sp. Actino-trap-3
Lineage: Bacteria; Pseudomonadati; Pseudomonadota; Gammaproteobacteria; Alteromonadales; Shewanellaceae
Also listed under: 1 other name
Description: tRNA-Asn
Rfam family: tRNA
About the family: Transfer RNA (tRNA) molecules are approximately 80 nucleotides in length. Their secondary structure includes four short double-helical elements and three loops (D, anti-codon, and T loops).
Source: RNAcentral